UUUAUUUUUUCGAUACGAACGGAACUACCCAUAGCAAAGAUAAUGGCGGUACGUGUAUAUCUUGUCCUGGUUUUUAUUCUUCACACGACGCAUGGAGAACAGACACAGACCGGAAUCUGUAAAGAUGUUUUACAAGGUUACCUGACAGGGAAACUUUCGUAUCAGGUAGAGACCUUAAAACAGGAAUUCAAAAGCUUCAAAGACGUCAUCAACGUCAUUGAGGAAUCGAUGAAAAAGUUCAAGGACGCAGUUAAUGCUAGCAUACAGGAAGGAGGUACUGGAAAAAGAGACAUUAUAUAUACAAGAUGGGGAAAGAAAACGUGUCCUUCAAACGCAAAAUUAGUCUAUUCAGG
Molecule: long non-coding RNA, 353 nt
Organism: Saccostrea cuccullata (small rock oyster)
Lineage: Eukaryota; Metazoa; Mollusca; Bivalvia; Ostreida; Ostreidae
Exons: 3
Source: RefSeq, a predicted model, not a curated record